Molecule: ribosomal RNA, 492 nt
Filed under: uncultured bacterium
Lineage: Bacteria
Description: partial 16S ribosomal RNA
Rfam family: Bacterial small subunit ribosomal RNA
Source: RNAcentral
AGUGAACGCUGGCGGUAGGCCUAACACAUGCAAGUCGAACGGCAGCACAGUAAGAGCUUGCUCUUACGGGUGGCGAGUGGCGGACGGGUGAGGAAUACAUCGGAAUCUACUUUUUCGUGGGGGAUAACGUAGGGAAACUUACGCUAAUACCGCAUACGACCUACGGGUGAAAGCAGGGGAUCUUCGGACCUCGCGCGAUUGAAUGAGCCGAUGUCGGAUUAGCUAGUUGGCGGGGUAAAGGCCCACCAAGGCGACGAUCCGUAGCUGGUCUGAGAGGAUGAUCAGCCACACUGGAACUGAGACACGGUCCAGACUCCUACGGGAGGCAGCAGUGGGGAAUAUUGGACAAUGGGCGCAAGCCUGAUCCAGCCAUACCGCGUGGGUGAAGAAGGCCUUCGGGUUGUAAAGCCCUUUUGUUGGGAAAGAAAAGUAGCAGGUUAAUACCCCGCUGUUCUGACGGUACCCAAAGAAUAAGCACCGGCUAACUUCGUG